RNAcentral lists this long non-coding RNA (288 nucleotides) under Capsella rubella. RNAcentral describes it as "long non-coding RNA (CRUB_LNC005096)". The record is from RNAcentral. Lineage: Eukaryota; Viridiplantae; Streptophyta; Magnoliopsida; Brassicales; Brassicaceae.
AAAUAUAAAAGUAUUCUUAUAUUGUAGUAACAGGAAUAUAUUCAACUCCUGCAAUAUACUUUACAUAAUUGUUACAAUCAUUAUUUUUUUUCUAUUGUAACUCUUGAUUAGAUCUUAGAUCCAUUCUAGGUAUCUAUGCCUUACUUCAUUUUUUUUUUCUUUCUAAUUACAUCAAACGAUUCCCUCGGUCCAUUAGCUAGAUCUUUGUCUCCACAUUUAUAAAAAAAUUGCAUCCUAUCUCGUGUCCAAUAUACUCUUCAUUGUUUAGUAAUCAACUCACAAAUUUUU